UGCAUUGAAUCAAAUAGGUGUACGUGGGGAACCGCCUGAACUGAAACAUCUAAGUAGGGCGAGGAAAAGACAUCAACCGAGAUUCCGCUAGUAGUGGCGAGCGAACGCGGAGGAGGCCAAACCGAAGGUAGCAAUAUCUUCGGGGUUACGGACAGACAUCAUGAUUGAGGGACGCUAGACGAACGGCAUGGGAAGGCCGGCGACACAGUGUGAGAGCCACGUAGUCGAAAGCAGAACUUGACAGUCUGGAUCCAGAGUACCGCAGGACACGAGGAACCCUGUGGGAAGUCGGGGGGACCACCCUCCAAGCCUAAAUACUACCUGAUGACCGAUAGAGGAGCAGUACCGUGAGGGAAAGGUGAAAAGAACCCCGGGAGGGGAGUGAAAUAGUACCUGAAACCUUGUGCUUACAAGCAGUCACAGCCCGUUAACGGGUGGUGGCGUACUUUUUGUAGAACGGUCCGGCGAGUUAUAGUCACUAGCGAGCUUAAGGUAUUCAGUACCGGAGGCGUAGGGAAACCGAGUCUGAACAGGGCGUAUGAAGUUAGUGGCCAUAGACCCGAAACCAUGUGACCUAGCCAUGAGCAGGAUGAAGUGGAGGUAAAGCUCCAUGGAGGUCCGAACGCACGUUCGUUGCAAUGACCGGCGAUGACUUGUGGCUAGCGGUGAAAUUCCAAUCGAACUUGGAGAUAGCUGGUUCUCCCCGAAAUAGCUUUAGGGCUAGCGUUGGCAAUGAGUUUCCCGGAGGUAAAGCACUGAAUGAGCUAGGGGGCGCGAGCUUACUGAACUCUAUCAAACUAAGAAUGCCGGAGAAAUGCUUACCAGCAGUCAGACUGCGAGUAAUAAAAUCCGUGGUCAAAAGGGUAACAGCCCAGACCCACAGCUAAGGUCCCCAAUACAUGCUAAGUGGAAAACGAUGUGAGAUCGCAUAAACAACCAGGAUGUUGGCUUAGAGGCAGCCACUCGUUCAAAGAGUGCGUAAUAGCUCACUGGUCGAGUGAUUUUGCGCGGAAAAUUUAACGGGGCUAAGCAUGUAACCGAAGCUUGGGAUUGCGCUUUUGCGCAGUGGUAGGGGAGCGUCGUGUACGGGGUGAAGUCGCACCGGAAGGAGCGGUGGACUGUACACGAGUGAGAAUGCCGGAAUGAGUAGCGAGAAUUAUGUGAGAAUCAUAAUGGCCGAAAAUCUAAGGUUUCUUGGGGAAGGUUCGUCCGCCCAAGGUAAGCCGGGAGCUAAGGCGAGGCCGAAAGGCGUAGUCGAUGCACAUACGGUUGAAAUUCCGUAGCCACCUUAUCGAUUAAAAGCUGACACAUGGAGAUAGCGGGACCCGGGCGUUGGUUGACCCGGGCGAAAGGGACCGAAAUCAAGUAGGGAAGUCCGCGAUGCUCUGUGGCGAGAAAAGGCGAAGGUAAGGUGCCCGUACCGCAAACCGACACAGGUAGAUGAGGAGAGAAUCCUAAGGCCAACGGGAGAAAGGUUGUUAAGGAACUCGGCAAAAUUGCCCCGUAACUUCGGGAGAAGGGGCGCCUCCGAAAGGAGGCCGCAGUGAAAAGGCCCAAGCGACUGUUUACCAAAAACACAGGUCUCUGCUAAAUCGAAAGAUGACGUAUAGGGGCUGACGCCUGCCCGGUGCUGGAAGGUUAAGAGGAGAGCUUAGCGCAAGCGAAGGCUUGAAUUUAAGCCCCAGUAAACGGCGGCCGUAACUAUAACGGUCCUAAGGUAGCGAAAUUCCUUGUCAGGUAAGUUCUGACCCGCACGAAUGGCGUAACGAUUUGGGCGCUGUCUCAACAGCCUACCCGGCGAAAUUGUAGUACCGGUGAAGAUGCCGGUUACCCGCAACUAGACGGAAAGACCCCAUGGAGCUUUACUGCAGCUUAAUACUGAGAUUCGGUAAUUCAUGUACAGGAUAGGUGGGAGACUUGGAAACAGGGGCGUCAGCUUCUGCGGAGUCACCCUUGGGAUACCACCCUUGGAUUGCUGGGUUUCUAACCUGCGGCCAUGAAUCUGGUCGGGGGACACUGUUAGGCGGGCAGUUUGACUGGGGCGGUCGCCUCCUAAAAAGUAGCGGAGGCGCUCAAAGCUUGGCUCAGCAUGGAUGGAAAUCAUGCAAUGAGUGUAAACGUAUAAGCCAAGUUGACUGCGAGACCGACGGGUCGAGCAGGUACGAAAGUAGGAGUUAGUGAU
Molecule: ribosomal RNA, 2182 nt
Filed under: metagenome
Description: bacterial LSU rRNA
Rfam family: Bacterial large subunit ribosomal RNA
Source: RNAcentral